AGAAAUGCUGUCUGUCACUGAUCCUCUGUGCUCCUCUCCCGCUACGGAGGAGGAGGAGGAUCCGCCGCUGACGGCCCCGUGCCAUCCAACGCGGGGCUCCGUGGGAGCGAGAGCAGAGGCAGCGCUUUCCCCCACUUUAGUCGUCUUUGCCGUCCUUUUAUGGCAUUCUGGCUCAUGGUGAAUGAAGGUUUUUCUACAACCAGUUUGAACCUCUGGCAUUCCCAUUUCCAUGUCUGGCUGUUUGAUGAUAAUGUUUUCUAUGAAGAAACUGCUUCAUUUCAUUUUCCUACAAAUGUGGUAGUCUUUGACUUAUAACCAUUAAUUUAAUGUGUGAUGUUAAAACGGCAUUGAAAAAAUUGACUUAUAACCAGUCCUUGCACUUAAAAUCAGUGCAGCAUCCUUAUGGUCAGGUACAGUAAUCAAUAUUCAGGUGCUUGGAAACCAGCACAUAUAUUUUAUACAAUAAUAAAAUAGCAGAGUUGGAAGGGAUCUUUGAGGUCUUC
Molecule: long non-coding RNA, 503 nt
Organism: Thamnophis sirtalis
Lineage: Eukaryota; Metazoa; Chordata; Lepidosauria; Squamata; Natricidae
Source: RefSeq, a predicted model, not a curated record